Non-coding RNA from Cordylochernes scorpioides, 72 nucleotides. Lineage: Eukaryota; Metazoa; Arthropoda; Arachnida; Pseudoscorpiones; Chernetidae. The record is from the annotation of a GenBank genome assembly.
UCCAGGGUAGCAAGUGGACAUGGCAUCUGCCUGGUAAGCGGAACACUGUGGGUUCGAUUCCCAUCCCUGGAC